CCAGGAAGGGUCAGAAUCAUCUGCAGUUUUCAUCUGGAUCACCAGCUGUCAUUCUGCAUAUCCUACUUACCUCAAGGGGCAGCUUCAGUCUUGGAAACAGAAAAUCCUAAGAUGUUGUUGCCACUUGAUCCAACUGGAAAAUACUGGCGUUUACAUUCUUGUUUUACAGAUGCAGAAAGCAAUAUUUAACUGAUCAGCUGCCACUCACAUCAUGAAUCAGAAGCAGCCUUAAAAGAAAGGAUCCCUUCUUGCUAUUUUGAAGGUGAAAUAUGAUCUUCUAUCUAGUGACUGAAAUUGUAUGUUGAGAUGAACGAGGGCCUCAGGGGUUGGGUAAUCAUUGAGGAAUAACGAAAUACUUUGGACUUGAGCUAUGUGGGUAGCCGAUUGAAUUAUGCAA
RNAcentral lists this long non-coding RNA (397 nucleotides) under Homo sapiens (human). RNAcentral describes it as "HSALNT0056309". Lineage: Eukaryota; Metazoa; Chordata; Mammalia; Primates; Hominidae. The record is from RNAcentral.